AGAGUGGGAGGUGCGUCCGAGCGGGAUGCUGGUGCAGAAGAGGGAGACGGCGGCAGUACCGGCGGCGCCGACUAUUAGGGUGAAGGUCAAGUAUGGGGAGGGGUACCACGAGAUCUAUGUCAGCGCGGAGGCGACGUUCGGGGAUGUUAAGAAGCGGGUGGCGGAGAGGAUAGGGAUGCAUCAUCUGGACUUGAAGGUGAUGUUCAAGGACCGGGAGAGGGACUCGGCGGCGUUUAUCGAUGUUGCCGGGG
Molecule: unclassified non-coding RNA, 251 nt
Filed under: Hevea brasiliensis (rubber tree)
Lineage: Eukaryota; Viridiplantae; Streptophyta; Magnoliopsida; Malpighiales; Euphorbiaceae
Source: RNAcentral